UUUACAGACCAGCCCCCUUGGAGGCUCUCAUCUGUCUGUCAGAGAUGUUGCUUCUCAGCUAUAGAAGGCAAGUUCUUGAGGAGAAGGGGUAAACCAUGGCCUUUUGGGGGUUCCUGGAGAAGCUUCCAGCAAGUGGAGCAAGUGCCUAUUGACAUUUCCUCUCUCAACGGAGAGUCACCUUUCUCGCCAUAGAAGCCUUGAACUUCACCCCAGGGAUGGGAUGGAGGAUACAGCUCAGGAAGAAAAAAAAGGGAGUCAAAGACACAGAGAAAAUGAGUGUCCUCCAAAGCGGCGUGGUUGGUAUCGGCUCAUCACCCUGCUAAUGAAGAUAAGAGUCUUCUCUCCUUGCUUGUACUCAACAGUGAGAGAUUAUCAGCUUUGUUCUGCUUCUGGAGCCUCCAUAAACACCAGAGUACAUUUUUUCUGCCAUUUACCCUGCACAGAACAUGGAGCUUCUUGGCCCCAACCAUGCAUGUGGAGGACAACAGACUCAACAAGACACCUGAACUCCGGUAUCACAGACAAAGUCUGAACAGUCACGGGUGUCCCAUCUGAAGCAGCAGGAGAAGUGGGCAGAGACAUAUGGCCGGGCGUGAGUUCCACACCAGCUUCGGGCCCUGGAGCGGUGACUUCACCCAUGUGUGCCUCGUGCUUGCCUGUCACCCGGGACAGUACGAGCGCCGCCCACGGGACAGUUGUGACAAUUAACGAGUUUGUUUCCUAACACAGGUUCAGUAAAUGUUACUUUUCUCUAGCCGCCCGUCUCUGGGACCCAGUUGUCCACAGCGGACGUAGUAGAUCUGCUCACUAAACAUUUGCUAUUUGAAUA
This is a long non-coding RNA of Suricata suricatta (meerkat), 829 nucleotides long. RefSeq lists it as uncharacterized. The record is from RefSeq and is a predicted model, not a curated record. The transcript is spliced from 5 exons. NCBI's taxonomy places the organism in Eukaryota, Metazoa, Chordata, Mammalia, Carnivora, Herpestidae.